CCAACGUAGCACCCAGUACCUCCUGGCUCUGCUGAAGUGGCGCUCGGGAGCUCAGUGUCCCUCGGGACGCCAUGAGGCACAUUCCCCUUCCACGACGUUGGAGAGCAAGUCUGUCCCCGGCGCCUUCGGGCGCUGGCGUGGACGGAGCCUGGCAUAUCCGUGCUGCUUCCCAGAGUCACUUCGACACUGACUGGGGGGACUGACCAUGCAAGGAACACCU
Non-coding RNA from Branchiostoma floridae (Florida lancelet), 220 nucleotides. Lineage: Eukaryota; Metazoa; Chordata; Leptocardii; Amphioxiformes; Branchiostomatidae. The record is from Rfam.